AUCUGAAAUAUGCGAACCAAUCUUCUUCUUGCUUCUCAAAGCUUUAACGGUAUGCAGAAGUUCCUAAGAA
Molecule: small RNA, 70 nt
Filed under: Arabidopsis thaliana (thale cress)
Lineage: Eukaryota; Viridiplantae; Streptophyta; Magnoliopsida; Brassicales; Brassicaceae
Description: ATSL159350
Source: RNAcentral